This 354-nucleotide ribosomal RNA is filed under the name Nanos peyrierasi. RNAcentral's name for it is "partial 16S ribosomal RNA". Lineage: Eukaryota; Metazoa; Arthropoda; Insecta; Coleoptera; Scarabaeidae. The record is from RNAcentral.
ACCUGCCCUAUGAUUAAAAAUUAAAUGGCUGCGGUAUUUUGACCGUGCAAAGGUAGCAUAAUCAUUAGUUUUUUAAUUGGGAACUGGUAUGAAAGGUCGAACGAAAAAGAGACUGUCUCAAUUUAAUUUAAAUUAGAAUUUUAUUUUUAAGUAAAAAAGCUUAAAUAUAUUUAAAAGACGAGAAGACCCUAUAGAGUUUUAUAUCUAGGUAUUUAUAUAGGAAAUUAAAGGAUUGUUUUUUUUUUAUAAUUAUUGAAGUAUUUGGUUGGGGCGAUUAAAAAAUUUAAUAAACUUUUUUUAAAUUAUAACAUUGAUUUAUGAAUAAGUGAUCCAUAUUUAAUGAUUAGAAGAUUA